GCUGGGAUUACAGGCGUGCACCAACGCUUGGCUAAUUUCUUUGUAUUUUUAGUAGAGAUGGGGUUUCACCAUGUUGGCCAGGCUGGUCUCGAACUCCUGACCUCAUGUGAUCCACCCACCUUGGCCUCCCAAAGUGCUGGGAUUACUGGCAUGAGUCAUCACACGUGGCCUAGAUUCAUCUAAAUUUUAAAACAUGGGAUGUUGCAAUCAGAUAGAAGAGCCAGAUCCAGUAUUGGCAGCUGUUACUGGUUUUGUGACCUGAAGAAGCUAAUCAAUGUUUCUAAGCCUCAAUUCCCUUCUCUGUAAAAGUGGGUGCUCACAGUGUUGUUGAGAAGAUUAAGCAGGGAAGAGUGUGUGAAACUACCUUACACAUAGCAAGGGCUCAAUAAAUGGUAGUAACUGUUCUUUGUUUUAAAAAAUUUUUGCUUAAUCCACUGCACAAUAAAGUGACCCAUGGAAGACCUUGGGAAAUGUUUACAGGUUUCAAAUUUGGUGUUUGCCAAGUAUUGCAAAACAUCUACCCCUCCUCACUACACACUUGUACUCCUGUUAAAAUACAUUACUGUGCUUGAAGGUGUCCAGUCUUCUAUUGUCUUGCAUAGUAGCACAGGCGAGCUUGGUGAAGGUAGGUGGAAUCAGGGUGUGUUUUCAGCAACAAGUGAGCAGAGGAGCUGAGCGGGUGGUUCUGAGCAAAGGGCCCGAGAAGUGACAGCAGAGGGGGAGUGAUGCCGAAACGAUAAUAUUAGAGUACACAGAGUAAUGCACAGCUGCCAGGUCACACAAUUUGAGAACUGCUUCAGAACAGUCAACUCUUCCACGCUGUUGCUAAGAGACGGGGGAGGUGGGGAGGCAUUCAUCCCUUGAACAAAAGGGAGGGGAAAAACACGAACAGACAUGAACUCUAAGUUUUGGAAAUGAUUUCAUGGACUCCUAUUUUCUGAACGUUAGUGUCUUUGGAGACAUUUUCAUGUGUUGAGUUCCUACUGUGUGCUAUGUGUGGCUCAAGGCACUGGGGAGAGAGCAGUGGACAAAGUCCCUGUUUUCAUGGAGCUUCUAUUGGAUUUGGUCUUCUCCUUUGAUGUUGAGGGGACUGACUGAGGUCCUCAGAAGGGAAGAACUUGCCUAAGAACUGAAGGCAACCUAUUGGCAAAGCUGAUAUUUGAAUCCAGGCCUCCUAAAUCCAAGAUCGAGACUUUUUCCAUAUACUACAUUUUACAAAAGAGAUUCAUCUGCAGCAGAUUUUAACGUUAGCUAGGACUUAAGUACCUCAGCUAGGUCAAGGUCCAUUCACUGGAGAUUUCUGCAAAUGAGUCCAAAAAAAUGAUGUUUUUUUAAUUUCAAGUGUCCCACGGAGAAGUUUCAUAUUUAUUCAGAGUCCUUGUCUUCCAUUAUUACACCUAGUUGAAUGAAACUGUAUAGUAUGAAAGGAGGUAGGGAGAAUCAAAACAGGAAAAAGAUUUGGGUAUCUCAUAACUGCUGAAAAUUAGCAAGACAUGGAAGUCAAGAGAUCUGGGUGCAGAAGCAGUUUCUACUUCUUCCUACCUGUGACCUUACCUCUUUAGGCCUGUUUUCCCACCUAUAACAUGAGGGAUUGCAUUAUAAUAAUCUCAGCAUUCUUCUCCAGCUCUAAAUUUAUGAUGAGUCACCCAACAGUGCCAUGCAGUGAAAAUAGCCCUAAGGCCCUAAGAUGUAAUUUCAGAGAGUGACUGUGGUUCAAAGAUGAAAAACUGAGUGUUAAUUGCCCCUUCUCCUGUGCUCCCAUGGUCCUAGGGCAGGGUGCUGCUGUAGUGCACAUUCUGCUGUGCAUGCUGAGAAGCUGGCUCCGGGUCUGCACCAGCAGAAAGGUCUGUGCUUAUGGAGGGUGAGCACUGUGUCCUGUGCACUGCCACGUGACUGUUUUUGUAGGCCUUUCUUCCCAUCAGACCAUGACUACUUUGAUGGCAGGGACCAUGUCUUAUUUAUCCUUCUGCCUUAGUGCCUGCCGCUGAGUAGUCUGUAGAUGUUUACAGAGUGAAGGAAUCAAUGAAUAAUGACUGAGUGAGAAAACUAUACUUUUUCAGGGUCAAUAAAGGAAAUAGCACAAGAGAAUCUCCCCUGAUAAACUUGUCAAAGUGAUCCCAGAAUUAAACAUUCAGGCUGGAGAGGUUAUUAGUGACUUGCUUAAGGCCACAUUGUUUAAAAGCAGCAAAGCUAGGACUCCUUUCCUCUCUCCUUUUCUUUCUUUUAUUCAGUACCCCAAAAGGGUGUUUGGCUCCAGCAUUGAACACAGGUGACUUUGAAUAACAAUUUAUCGGAACAAGAUGAAUUUUGAAGCAGGUAGGAGGGUGGCUUUUGAGUCUGACAGAUGUGGGUUCAAAUCCUCUGGGGCCGCUGACUAUCAGUGUGAUCUAUGGCAACUUAACCUCCCGGAAGCUCAGUUUCCUCGUGUGAAAAGUAGAAGUGAUAACAUCUCCACCAUCUCCCUUGCAGGCUGCUUCUGUGGGGUCAUUUGAAGGCUUAUGGUUAACCCAGAUAAGAGGUAGGAUGGGAGUUUCUAACACAAGUCUCUUACUGUCCUGCACGAUUUGUUGCUUCAGAGAAAUGGGGUCUUCUCUAUCUUUUUUGAAAUUCCAUUGUUGGCUUAGACAAUGAGUAGCCUUCUGUGUAUGUGAUGUACAUUCUCCCCCAGACCUACUGUUAUGUAUUUUCCAGCCUACUGAGGUAGUCCAGGCCCAUUCACUAUACACAUCAGUGUGUGCUGGCUUGUGUUUUUACCCUUUCUGCAGCUACAGCCUGAACUAAGACUGGGUCCUUGCAGCUCUCCAACACAUGAUUGCUGCCUGCCAGAACCACAGACCUUUCUCGGGACUGGCACGAAUUUCAGCCAACAGAGCCUGCACAGAAACACAUGGAAAAGGCUUCCGGUGGAGCUUACUGUGAGUCACAGACAGCCAUAGUUGCACUGGAUAGAGAGCUGGCAGAUGCCAUCAGCAUAUGCCCUUAGAAACUUUGGUUGUUUUGUGGCCUGGAGAAGAGCCCAGAAUUAUGGAGCCUAAGAGGCAGCACCUCUGCUUUCUGAAGAGGAAGCCGUAGUGCCGUGGACUUCACCACGUGCACAGUGGCUGCAUCCAGACCUGAAUGCCCCUCUCAUUACUCACCGGAAGUGAGCUUUGAACACUUCACACAGGAAGAUGACUCGCUCCUCCAACAAGAUGCAGAAAGUCUUUCCAAGCAAAUGACUUGAAGUGUUUAAAUAUUCUGUUUCUUAGUCUGCUUUUUUUCUGUUAAAUCCUUCAGCUUGAAUGAGCACCUUUAUCUGCAAAUUGAUCUGGUUGUAGCAUCCCUUGACCAUAAAAACACCAUAAAUAGGAUUUCUGAUGUCCAUUUUAUAGAUGAAGAAGGAAGGUUUAGCAAGGCCAUUCAAGGAUACACAGCUAGAGGACGAGAUGGAAUUGAAGUCCCUUUGUCAGCAUCCUUUUCAUUCUUGAUGCCAUUUCAUUUCCCCUCCUGGAAAGCCUUCCCACUCCAAGAGAAAAACUAUUAUACAAAUGAUACAACCUGCUAUGGAAAAAAGAGAAAUAACAGAUAAGUAUACAAAGAAAAUACAAGAAAAACAUGAACAGUAAUAAUCUUAUCCAAAUGUUACUGAGAUAUUUUUGGAGUACUUAAUUUCAAUCUUUUUCCUAUAUGCAAACACACACAACUUUUCUCUAACAAAAAUCAGAUCAUACUGUACUAGCAAACACCCUACCUGAAAUCUGUAUAUCCAUUGCCUAUUGAUUAUGCCCAUUGCUUAACAUACUAUGUUUUAUUUAAUCAUUAUUUAAUUGUUGAGUAUGCAAGUUAUUUCUGAGUUUUCACUCAAGCUGUUUACGCUUAUUUCUGUCUGGGUGUGAAUGAAUCUUUGGCACAUUCCUCUAGCAAGUUGAUCAACAUCUGGUCUAAGAUAUUCUUCGGUGUUGGGUUUGUGCUGUCCACAUCAGCUUAGCAAUGUCUGCACAAAGACUCCUUCCCCCUCAAAAGUGCCAUUCAGACUUGCUGUGGGUAUAAGGGGAACAAUCUCAUUGAGGAGAAAGUUGUCAUUGUGGUUGAGAACAUGAACUUUGGAAUUGGAUAGAGCUGUGUGAAUUUGGCCUAAACUCCGAGUCUGCUUCCACAUCUGUAAAAUGUAGACACAAAUAGUUACUCAUAAGGUUCUGGUGGGGAUUAAAUGUGGUUAUACCUGUAAAGUCCUUAGCAUUAUGCCCAGCACAUAGUGAAGAUGUUCGAUAAAUGAUAACUAAACAAACAUUGUGUCCCCUCCCACUACAACCACACUGCUCUCCCUCACCUUACAGACUUUGCUGCUUGACAAUCUUGGGGUGGGGCUGCUGAAAACUGAAUCUCAAUUUAGGAAGCCAUGUUGUCCCAGGAUUAGGGUUAUUGGCCUCACAUAAGAAUCUCCAAAUCUGCAGAAUCUCAGGCCCCACCCAAAAACUAUUCAAUCAGAAACUACAUUUUCAAAAGAUAUCCCAGAUGAUUUGUAUGCAUAGUAAAGUUUGAGAAGGUUUUAGUCCAGGUAUUCAGGAAGUGAUGCUGGUUGUGUAUGGAGGACAGGGGCCCAGGAACUGAUGAAAUCUCUAGUUUGGAAUUCUCGAUAGCAUUUGCAUUCUUUUUUUUUUUUUUUAUCUCAAAUCCAUCACUCAGUAGCAAUGUGAUCUUCACAAAGCUCCCUUUACUUUUACCACCAUAGUGUUGUAGGAGAAGCUCUAUCUUCCAAGUCAGACAGAUCUGGGCUUCAAUUCCAGCUUUGUUAACUGGAGGACUUAUUAUUAGCUGGGAGGACUUGCGACAAAUCAUACCAACUUUCUGAGCCCAGUUUCCUUCCCUGUAAAAUGUAGAUAAUACACCUUUCUUGAGGUGUUACUAGAGAUAACCAAUGAUAAAGUGUUUGGGAAAUCUGGCAUAUCGUAGGGGUACAAUGAGUAAGUGGUUUGACUCCAAAGACCUGAGUUUGGAUCUCAGCUCCACAACUCACUUGGCUGAUUGCUUUCUUUCCCUGGACUCAAGUUUCAUCAUCUGUAAAACUGGCAUUUCAACCAAAUAACUUCUGAAGUCUCUCCCUCCUUUAAAGCUUGAUAUUACAAGGGCAAAUUUUAGUACAAAUAUCCAAAUCCUAACGGUAACUCACAAUUACAAAAGAGCUGAGUCUGUCAUUCACCUGUCAAAUUAUCUAAACUGCGUCUCAGUCAGGAGAUGUGAAAAGAAGGAUGGAUUUUCUAUGAAUGUUUUCUUUUUUUUUUUUGAGACGGAGUCUCGCUCUGUCGCCCAGGCUGGAGUGCAGUGGCG
Molecule: long non-coding RNA, 5307 nt
Filed under: Homo sapiens (human)
Lineage: Eukaryota; Metazoa; Chordata; Mammalia; Primates; Hominidae
Description: HSALNT0007534
Source: RNAcentral